AACGCAUAUUGCGCUCGCGGCCUCGGCCAAGAGCAUGUCUGCCUCAGCGUCGGUUUGAACCCUCACCCUAUUCUUCCUUAGGGAAGUAUAGCGCAGCUGGCUACGGCCGGCUUGCCCAGGGUGGAUCUGACAUUCCCGCCCCAUUUGGAGCGGGUCUGUUGAAGUGCAGUGGCAUUGCAAGGUCCCUAUAGGGCUCAACUGGAUAACGUGGUGCAAACCGCGCGAAAGUUGUAGCUUGGAAUCUUGACUAGCGCCAUCAAGGAACCCCUUCUUAUUCGACCUGAGCUCAGGCAAGAUUACCCGCUGAACUUAA
This 313-nucleotide unclassified non-coding RNA is filed under the name uncultured fungus. RNAcentral's name for it is "partial contains 5.8S ribosomal RNA, internal transcribed spacer 2, and large subunit ribosomal RNA". The record is from RNAcentral. Lineage: Eukaryota; Fungi.